GAGUGCUCGAAAGAGAAACCAGUACACAGGUGCUGCAUGGCUGUCGUCAGCUCGUGUCGUGAGAUGUUGGGUUAAGUCCCGCAACGAGCGCAACCCUUGUCNUUAGUUGCUACGAAAGGGCACUCUAANGAGACUGCCGGUGACAAACCGGAGGAAGGUGGGGAUGACGUCAAGUCCUCAUGGCCCUUAUGGGUAGGGCUUCACACGUCAUACAAUGGUACAUACAGAGNGCCGCCAACCCGCGAGGGGGAGCUAAUCGCAGAAAGUGUAUCGUAGUCCGUAUUGUAGUCUGCAACUCGACUNCAUGAAGUUGGAAUCGCUAGUAAUCGCGGAUCAGCAUGUCGCGGUGAAUACGUUCCCGGGUCUUGUACACACCGCCCGUCACACCAUGGGAGCGGGUUUUACCAGAAGUAGGUAGCUUAACCGNAAGGAGGGCGNUUACCACGGUAGGAUUCNUGACUGGGGUGAAGUCGUAACAAGGUAGCCGUAAUCG
RNAcentral lists this ribosomal RNA (493 nucleotides) under uncultured bacterium. Its description in RNAcentral is "bacterial SSU rRNA". It matches the Rfam family "Bacterial small subunit ribosomal RNA", at positions 1011 to 1508 of the family's 1533-position model. The record is from RNAcentral.